UACGUAGGGUGCGAGCGUUAAUCGGAAUUACUGGGCGUAAAGCGUGCGCAGGCGGUUCUGUAAGCCAGAUGUGAAAGCCCCGGGCUUAACCUGGGAAUGGCAUUUGGGACUGCAAGGCUUGAGUGCGGCAGAGGAGACUGGAAUUCCUGGUGUAGCAGUGAAAUGCGUAGAUAUCAGGAGGAAUACCGAUGGCGAAGGCAGGUCUCUGGGCUGACACUGACGCUCAUGCACGAAAGCGUGGGGAGCAAACAGG
RNAcentral lists this ribosomal RNA (253 nucleotides) under uncultured bacterium. RNAcentral describes it as "partial 16S ribosomal RNA". It matches the Rfam family "Bacterial small subunit ribosomal RNA", at positions 524 to 776 of the family's 1533-position model. The record is from RNAcentral.